RNAcentral lists this microRNA precursor (77 nucleotides) under Echinops telfairi (small Madagascar hedgehog). Its description in RNAcentral is "miRNA (ENSETEG00000024868.1)". The record is from RNAcentral. Lineage: Eukaryota; Metazoa; Chordata; Mammalia; Afrosoricida; Tenrecidae.
CUCUGUCUGAUCCCUCUUCCCUCGGUCACGGAGAGACACAAAGGGGGGCGGGGGGGGGCGGGGGGACCGAGGGAAAG